This is a long non-coding RNA of Chrysemys picta bellii (western painted turtle), 1499 nucleotides long. RefSeq lists it as uncharacterized. NCBI's taxonomy places the organism in Eukaryota, Metazoa, Chordata, Testudines, Emydidae. The record is from RefSeq and is a predicted model, not a curated record.
AGCUUUGAAGAAGCUGCUGUCAAGCUGUUUUUUCAUCCUCAGUGGGAGAAACCGAUCUUAUCUGAUAAUGGAGAAAGCUGGGGAGAGAGCUUCCCAUUUUCAUCGCUGCCCGUCAUCAGCCUCUCUUAUCUUCUCGCACACUAUACUCAAAUGUAUCGUUAAGUUUUUAUCUUAGGGCUUGUCUACUCUUACCAAAGGAUCAAUGCUGCGGUGAUGGAUGCAUCGGCGGUCUAUUUAGCGGGUAGUGAAGACCCACUAAAUCGUCCGCCAAUCUCUCUCCCGUCGACUCCUGCACUCCACCUGAUCGAGAAGACUAAGGCUCUCCUGUCGACAUCGCAUAGUGUGGAUCCCUCGCAAACAGAUAGGACCUGCUGUCCAAGAAGGAGUCACAAUCCUUGUGAAAAAGGGUUGGAAGGACUGACACCUACCAGACUCUUGUGCUUGAGUUGGGGUCAUUGAUAAAAGUAUUAAAUAGCGUAUGGCCAAGAACCAAUCCCUGAAAAGAUCCUCUGGUCAGGAGGGAAACAGAAGUGAGUCUCUGCACAAGAGAGGUGAUGGCUGAGGAGCCAGGAGCCUACAGUGGAUGCCCUUAAUGGACCAGGGAGGAAGGAGAAGCAGGGGUAGAGGGCAUACAAUUGCAGUUGCCCUGAACCAUGACAGGAAGGUAGAAGAAAAAAAUUCACAAAGCCAUUUACUGAACAUAUUUGGAGAACUUAACAGACUCAGACUUUAAGGCCUGAAGGGACCAUCAUGAUCAUCUACAGUGGAUGUUGCUGCUCAAACAGUAUGGAUAAAGUAAUGGAACAGUGUGACUUAAAAAAACCCCUGAAGUUCUGAAAUUUCACUCAAGCACCCAAAGCCAGCCAACACCACCAUUUAUUUACAAUCAAUAGAAUAAGGGCCACAUUUUCAGCUGGUGUAAAUCAGCAUAGCCCCACUGACUUAAACAAUUAGUUAUUAAAUCAUACAACAAGCCAUAUGCCACACAAUUUCUGAAGGAUUUUCAAUUAGCAAAUUUUCUACAGAUUGCAUUCUGUGAAAACAGUGCUAUUGACUACGCUACAAACAGUAAAAGAACAGCAUCCAAAAAUAAAACCUGCUGAUCAAUAAGUAGGUCAACUACCAACAACCAUCAUUCUCUUCCCUCUUCCUCUUACCUUAGAUGUGUCACAAUUUCAGUUCCCCUCUUCCAAAGUAUAUUUAAGAUAUUGCCAACCUUAUUUUAAAUCUGCUGAAGAGAAUAAUCUAGGUACUAUCUGAAUGCACCAAUCAUUUCUGCAUUAAGUAUUCUUGCCAAUACUGUUCCAGAAUAAGCUGAUUUCACCAAAAACAAUUACCUCCAGAUUGUUUACAUCUGGGCUGAAUCAUAAAAGCAACAGAAGGUACAACAUCAGUGAGCUUGGUAAUUAGGUUUGCAAGACUCAGGGAUUGUCUACAUGAACAUUGUGGCAAGCUGGGAUGUGAAUCUACCCCAUGCUAGUUUGCUGCAGACUAACUGU